ACAGCAGUAGCCGCGGGAAAACGGAGGGUGCAAGCGUUAAUCGGAAUUACUGGGCGUAAAGCGCACGCAGGCGGUCUGUCAAGUCAGAUGUGAAAUCCCCGGGCUUAACCUGGGAACUGCAUUUGAAACUGGCAGGCUAGAGUCUUGUAGAGGGGGGUAGAAUUCCAGGUGUAGCGGUGAAAUGCGUAGAGAUCUGGAGGAAUACCGGUGGCGAAGGCGGCCCCCUGGACAAAGACUGACGCUCAGGUGCGAAAGCGUGGGGAGCAAACAGGAUUAGAGACCCCAGUAGUCCCUGUCUCUUAUAC
Molecule: ribosomal RNA, 305 nt
Filed under: uncultured bacterium
Lineage: Bacteria
Description: partial 16S ribosomal RNA
Rfam family: Bacterial small subunit ribosomal RNA
Source: RNAcentral